This 189-nucleotide ribosomal RNA is filed under the name Rauvolfia sumatrana. RNAcentral's name for it is "5.8S ribosomal RNA". The stretch from base 5 to 160 matches the Rfam family "5.8S ribosomal RNA". Rfam says of the family: 5.8S ribosomal RNA (5.8S rRNA) is a component of the large subunit of the eukaryotic ribosome. The record is from RNAcentral. Lineage: Eukaryota; Viridiplantae; Streptophyta; Magnoliopsida; Gentianales; Apocynaceae.
GAACGACUCUCGGCAACGGAUAUCUAGGCUCUCGCAUCGAUGAAGAACGUAGCAAACUGCGAUACUUGGUGUGAAUUGCAGAAUCCCGUGAACCAUCGAGUUUUUGAACGCAAGUUGCGCCCGAAGCCAUUAGGCCGAGGGCACGCCUGCCUGGGCGUCACGCAUCGCGUCGCCCUCCCCAGCCCUCGU